This 254-nucleotide ribosomal RNA is filed under the name uncultured bacterium. RNAcentral describes it as "partial 16S ribosomal RNA". It matches the Rfam family "Bacterial small subunit ribosomal RNA", at positions 524 to 776 of the family's 1533-position model. The record is from RNAcentral.
UACGUAGGGUGCGAGCGUUGUCCGGAAUUAUUGGGCGUAAAGAGCUUGUAGGCGGUUUGUCGCGUCUGCUGUGAAAAUCCGGGGCUCAACCCCGGACUUGCAGUGGGUACGGGCAGACUAGAGUGUGGUAGGGGAGACUGGAAUUCCUGGUGUAGCGGUGAAAUGCGCAGAUAUCAGGAGGAACACCGAUGGCGAAGGCAGGUCUCUGGGCCACUACUGACGCUGGAGACGCGAAAGCGUGGGGAGCGAACAGG